Molecule: transfer RNA, 73 nt
Filed under: Candidatus Nealsonbacteria bacterium CG_4_10_14_0_2_um_filter_35_20
Lineage: Bacteria; Candidatus Nealsoniibacteriota
Also listed under: 3 other names
Description: tRNA-Met
Rfam family: tRNA
About the family: Transfer RNA (tRNA) molecules are approximately 80 nucleotides in length.
Source: RNAcentral
GUCGGCGUAGCUCAGUGGUUAGAGCAAACGUUUCAUAAGCGUUAGGUCGUCGGUCCAAAUCCGACCGCCGACA